CCCUUAGAUGUUCUGGGCCGCACGCGUGCUACACUGAGUGGAUCAGCGGGUCAGGUUGCGCGAAAGCGUUUCCUAAUCUUUAAAUCCGCUCGUGAUGGGGAUUGACGGUUGCAAUUUUCUGUCAUGAACGAGGAAUACCUUGUAAGCGCGGGUCAUCAUCCCGCGCUGAAUACGUCCCUGCCCUUUGUACACACCGCCCGUCGCUCCUACCGAUUGAGUGGUCCGGUGAGGCUUUGGGAUCUGAGUGGAAAGAGCGUUUCGCUGUUUCUGCUCGGAAAACUCAGUCGAACCUUAUCAUUUAGAGGAAGGAGAAGUCGUAACA
This 322-nucleotide ribosomal RNA is filed under the name uncultured eukaryote. RNAcentral's name for it is "partial 18S ribosomal RNA". It matches the Rfam family "Eukaryotic small subunit ribosomal RNA", at positions 1470 to 1796 of the family's 1831-position model. The record is from RNAcentral.